AAUAGCAUCAGUAAUAAAUGUUAAUGUAUCAGAACUGGUCAAUAAAUCAGUGGAAUCAAAGUGAUUUUAAUCUACAACAAAUUAUUUUCAUUCCUGUUUCCUUCUUGAAUAACAAAAAUUUUGAAAUGCUGGAUGAAUUAAUGAGAAAUAAAUUAAUAUUUAGUCUAAUCUCAUUGAUUUAAUCCAGAGAUCUGUGAAUUUUGAAGACGUUUGGUCUUAAAAUCUCAACAGAUCAGAUAAAUCUGUUUAAUUUGAUCAAAUAUGAGUUUUAAUCUGUUUGAGGUUCUUCUGUUUAUAGAAAGUUUAGGAAAAACUUUUCCUGUGUCUGGUUGUUGAAAACUAAAGAGACAAACAGAUUUUCUUUCUAAAAUAAAUUAAAACUUGGUGUUUGUUCUUCAUGCAGAUUAAAUACAUUUUCUCCCAAGUGGGGAGAAAUGUUUUGAGCAAGAGAACAUGCAAACUCAAGGAGAAAAACCCUGGGCUGGGAAUCAAACCUAAGACCUUCUUACUGUGAGGCAACAUCUCUACCAGCUGCACCGGCUACUUUUCUUUCUUAAACUGGAUGAUUAUUCUACUGUUGUGUUAUAAAAAUGCUAAUCUUAGUCCAUCAACCGUUUAAUGUGAAAGUCGUGUCAUUCUGUCUCAGUAAAAGCCUUAAACCUGUUUCUCCCCCACAGGAUUCAAAUUUCAGUCACAACUUAAAGCAGGAAGACAAAAAUGUUGGUGACAAACAUCUGAUAUCCUGACUGAACUCAUUCAGUCACUGGAGAUUAAACAGACGAGG
Molecule: long non-coding RNA, 784 nt
Organism: Poecilia latipinna (sailfin molly)
Lineage: Eukaryota; Metazoa; Chordata; Actinopteri; Cyprinodontiformes; Poeciliidae
Exons: 3
Source: RefSeq, a predicted model, not a curated record